Molecule: transfer RNA, 77 nt
Filed under: Gammaproteobacteria bacterium
Lineage: Bacteria; Pseudomonadati; Pseudomonadota; Gammaproteobacteria
Description: tRNA-Arg
Rfam family: tRNA
About the family: Transfer RNA (tRNA) molecules are approximately 80 nucleotides in length. Their secondary structure includes four short double-helical elements and three loops (D, anti-codon, and T loops).
Source: RNAcentral
GCGCCCGUAGCUCAGCUGGAUAGAGCAUCGGCCUUCUAAGCCGAGGGUCAGAGGUUCGAAUCCUCUCGGGCGCACCA